CAUGCAAGUCGAACGGCAGCACAGAGGAGCUUGCUCCUUGGGUGGCGAGUGGCGGACGGGUGAGGAAUACAUCGGAAUCUACUCUGUCGUGGGGGAUAACGUAGGGAAACUUACGCUAAUACCGCAUACGACCUACGGGUGAAAGCAGGGGAUCUUCGGACCUUGCGCGAUUGAAUGAGCCGAUGUCGGAUUAGCUAGUUGGCGGGGUAAAGGCCCACCAAGGCGACGAUCCGUAGCUGGUCUGAGAGGAUGAUCAGCCACACUGGAACUGAGACACGGUCCAGACUCCUACGGGAGGCAGCAGUGGGGAAUAUUGGACAAUGGGCGCAAGCCUGAUCCAGCCAUACCGCGUGGGUGAAGAAGGCCUUCGGGUUGUAAAGCCCUUUUGUUGGGAAAGAAAUCCAUCUGGUUAAUACCCGGGUGGGAUGACGGUACCCAAAGAAUAAGCACCGGCUAACUU
RNAcentral lists this ribosomal RNA (460 nucleotides) under Pseudomonas sp. AR447. Its description in RNAcentral is "bacterial SSU rRNA". It matches the Rfam family "Bacterial small subunit ribosomal RNA", at positions 54 to 503 of the family's 1533-position model. The record is from RNAcentral. Lineage: Bacteria; Pseudomonadati; Pseudomonadota; Gammaproteobacteria; Pseudomonadales; Pseudomonadaceae.